RNAcentral lists this unclassified non-coding RNA (357 nucleotides) under Hevea brasiliensis (rubber tree). The record is from RNAcentral. Lineage: Eukaryota; Viridiplantae; Streptophyta; Magnoliopsida; Malpighiales; Euphorbiaceae.
GGAUCAUUAUACCAGGUUUAAGCAGUCCUCUUCUUCCCUCGAUGUUGAUAUUGGUUCUGGAGCUGGUGAUCAAGAGCCAUAUGGUCAGAUAGUGCACCCAAACUCAAGCUUAGGAACCCCAGUUCCACAUUCUGAUGCCAGUGAUGAUGAGUCAGAUGAGGAACUUGCAAAACAGACUCAAGAGCCAUACAUUCAUAAAGCAGCACCCGAAGUGAAUAAAAAAUCAGGCUUAAGGAGCUAUUUUGACUUAGAUAAUAGUGAUUCUGAGGAGGAACUUCCUAAUCAGACAGUAACCAAAACUCGUCCAGGUCCUGGAUUGUCUAGACGGACAAAACAGACUGUAACCAGCAACACUCU